RNAcentral lists this long non-coding RNA (495 nucleotides) under Nicotiana benthamiana. RNAcentral describes it as "long non-coding RNA (NBEN_LNC025808)". Lineage: Eukaryota; Viridiplantae; Streptophyta; Magnoliopsida; Solanales; Solanaceae. The record is from RNAcentral.
GCCACCCUUAGAUUCCCCCUCUCCAAAAUUCUUUCUUAGAAACCCUACCUGCCUUCCUCUAUUUCCACCAUAAAACUACCGAAAUCUAUGGCUUCCAAGGCAAUUGAAGUAUUAUACCAACCUCCUAUAACUCCUACACGCCUGUUUAUUGAAGGUUCAAGGCCUGACCACGAAGAGGCUUGGUCCAGGAUUCGUUUGAUUUGAGUUCUAUGGCCGUCUCCGUCCUUGCUCUAGCAAACCAUGGUUGUUUGAACCUGAUCUUGACUUCUCCUGCUCACAUCAACGACUUUCCAAGCCUUUCUCACUAUUUAGGUUCCUUUGGAACCAUGAAUUUUGAGGUUCUUCUGAUUUUUUUAGAUACGUUCUAGAUCCUUGUUUUCCAUGAUCUUUUAAACGGUUUCUCGAGAUUUCUUUCAAAAAACUAUGCUUUCAAACCUUUAUCUUUCCAAUUUAGGGUUUUGUUAAGUUGUUUAUCUGAUUUUCGUUAAGUUUCUU